AGCGAACGCUGGCGGCAGGCUUAACACAUGCAAGUCGAACGCCCCGCAAGGGGAGUGGCAGACGGGUGAGUAACACGUGGGAACGUACCCUUUGGUUCGGAAUAACUUGGGGAAACUCAAGCUAAUACCGGAUAAGCCCUUAUGGGGAAAGGUUUACUGCCGAAGGAUCGGCCCGCGUCUGAUUAGCUAGUUGGUGAGGUAAUGGCUCACCAAGGCGACGAUCAGUAGCUGGUCUGAGAGGAUGAUCAGCCACACUGGGACUGAGACACGGCCCAGACUCCUACGGGAGGCAGCAGUGGGAAAUAUUGGACAAUGGGGGCAACCCUGAUCCAGCCAUGCCGCGUGAGUGAUGAAGGCCUUAGGGUUGUAAAGCUCUUUUACCCGGGACGAUAACGACUGUACCGGGAGAAUAAGCCCCGGCUAACUUCGUGCCAGCCGCCGCAGUAA
RNAcentral lists this ribosomal RNA (447 nucleotides) under uncultured bacterium. RNAcentral describes it as "partial 16S ribosomal RNA". It matches the Rfam family "Bacterial small subunit ribosomal RNA", at positions 29 to 523 of the family's 1533-position model. The record is from RNAcentral.